AUGAAGACCUUUAUCAUCCUUGCCCUCCUUGCUAUUGUGGCGACCACCGCCACAACUGCAGUUACAGUUCCAGUGCCACAAUUGCAGCCACAAAAUCCAUCUCAGCAACAACCACAAAAGCAAGUUCCAUUGGUGCAACAACAACAAUUUCUAGGGCAGCAACAACCAUUUCCACCACAACAGCCAUAUCCGCAGCCGCAACCAUUUCCAUCACAACAACCAUAUCCACAGCCACAACCAUUUCUGCCACAACUACCAUAUCCGCGUCCGCAACCAUUUCUACCACAACAACCAUAUCCACAACCGGAACCACAGUAUCCGCAACCACAACAACCAAUUUCGCAACAGCAGCAGCAGCAACAACAACAACAACAACAAAUCCUUCAACAAAUUUUGCAACAACAACUGAUUCCAUGCAGGGAUGUCAUCUUGCAACAACACAACAUAGCGCAUGCAAGCUCACAAGUUUUGCAACAAAGUACUUACCAGUUGUUGCAACAAUUGUGUUGUCAGCAGCUGUGGCAGAUCCCCGAGCAGUCGCGGUGCCAAGCCAUCCAGAAUGUUGUUCAUGCUAUUAUUCUGCAUCAACAACAACAACGACAACAACAACAACAACAACAACAACAACAACAACAACAACAACAACAACAACAACAACAACAACAACAACAACAACAACAACAACAGCAGCAACAACCGUCGAGCCAGGUCUCCUUCCAACAGCCUCAGCAACAAUAUCCAUCAGGCCAGGGCUCCUUCCAGCCAUCUCAGCAAAACCCACAGGCCCAGAGCUCUGUCCAACAUCAACAACUACCCCAAUUUGAGGAAAUAAGGAACCUAGCACUGCAGACGCUACCAGCAGUGUGCAAUGUCUACAUCCCUCCAUAUUGCUCGACCACCAUUGCGCCAUUUGGCAUCUUCGGUACUAACUGA
This 933-nucleotide ribosomal RNA is filed under the name Triticum aestivum (bread wheat). RNAcentral describes it as "partial small subunit ribosomal RNA". Lineage: Eukaryota; Viridiplantae; Streptophyta; Magnoliopsida; Poales; Poaceae. The record is from RNAcentral.